Molecule: small nuclear RNA, 169 nt
Filed under: Salmo trutta (river trout)
Lineage: Eukaryota; Metazoa; Chordata; Actinopteri; Salmoniformes; Salmonidae
Description: U2 spliceosomal RNA (ENSSTUG00000031163.1)
Rfam family: U2 spliceosomal RNA (bases 1-140)
About the family: U2 is a small nuclear RNA (snRNA) component of the spliceosome (involved in pre-mRNA splicing). Complementary binding between U2 snRNA (in an area lying towards the 5' end but 3' to hairpin I) and the branchpoint sequence (BPS) of the intron results the bulging out of an unpaired adenosine, on the BPS, which initiates a nucleophilic attack at the intronic 5' splice site, thus starting the first of two transesterification reactions that mediate splicing.
Source: Rfam by way of RNAcentral
AUCGCUUCUCGGCCUUUUGGCUAAGAUCAAGUGUAGUAUCUGUUCUUAUCCCUUAACAAAGGGACUUCUUGACAGGCUUUCCAUGUCUUAAAAAAUGUUUUACUUUGUUAAAUCAUUAAUACACAUUUUAAAUGGCUUUUAUCAGAUUGGUUUUUACAAAAAAGGGUAC